RNAcentral lists this ribosomal RNA (429 nucleotides) under Chloroflexota bacterium. RNAcentral's name for it is "Chloroflexi bacterium partial 16S ribosomal RNA". It matches the Rfam family "Bacterial small subunit ribosomal RNA", at positions 355 to 776 of the family's 1533-position model. Lineage: Bacteria; Bacillati; Chloroflexota. The record is from RNAcentral.
UGGGGAAUAUUGCACAAUGGGCGCAAGCCUGAUGCAGCCAUGCCGCGUGUAUGAAGAAGGCCUUCGGGUUGUAAAGUACUUUCAGCGGGGAGGAAGGGAGUAAAGUUAAUACCUUUGCUCAUUGACGUUACCCGCAGAAGAAGCACCGGCUAACUCCGUGCCAGCAGCCGCGGUAAUACGGAGGGUGCAAGCGUUAAUCGGAAUUACUGGGCGUAAAGCGCACGCAGGCGGUUUGUUAAGUCAGAUGUGAAAUCCCCGGGCUCAACCUGGGAACUGCAUCUGAUACUGGCAGGCUAGAGUCUUGUAGAGGGGGGUAGAAUUCCAGGUGUAGCGGUGAAAUGCGUAGAGAUCUGGAGGAAUACCGGUGGCGAAGGCGGCCCCCUGGACGAAGACUGACGCUCAGGUGCGAAAGCGUGGGGAGCAAACAGG